This 115-nucleotide ribosomal RNA is filed under the name Aeromonas veronii. Lineage: Bacteria; Pseudomonadati; Pseudomonadota; Gammaproteobacteria; Aeromonadales; Aeromonadaceae. The record is from RNAcentral. RNAcentral also lists the same sequence under 2 other names.
CCUGGCGGCCAUAGCGCCGUGGAACCACCUGAUCCCAUGCCGAACUCAGAAGUGAAACGCGGUAGCGCCGAUGGUAGUGUGGCAUUCGCCAUGCGAGAGUAGGACACUGCCAAGC